UAAAGACACAGCUUUGAAGUUAGCUCAUGUUGAGGAAGUUUGCCAUAUCAUUGACAGUGGGACAUGGUUUUCAAAUGGGAAAAGAGUUCAACCUGCACAACAGACAAUUGAAGAGAUAAAUCAUCCACGGAUUCAAACUUUUGUAAUGGGAAAUAGGACACAGAAAGAAGAUGAACAAAUUAUAGGAGUGAAAAGAAAUGUAGGAGACGAAAUCAGAAACAUGAAAAGGAAGGAUGGAAGUAAAUUAAACAUUGGAGAAAUUGUUUAUUUUAAAUUAGAUGACCAUAUUAAUUAUGGUAAAAUUGACUGCAAAACCAGUUCAGAUGUUACUGUUUUGUUGAUGAUACCUCACCAGGAAGAUCCCUUAUUCCAUUGCAAGAGCCUUACACUCACCACAAGAAGAAAAAGCUUGCCUUACAAUAUCAUUGAGGGCUCUUUGUUUGUAUCUCAUGAUUGUAGAAAUGGUGGAUGCUGUUCCAUGGUUACAAACCAAUCUAUUAGACAAUUUCGUCAUAAUUAUAAACAUGGUGUCUAUCUUAUUAACAGAUUUAAAAUUCAUUUUAAUUAUAAACAAUUUAAUUCCUGAUUUAAGGGCAUACUAUAUAGUUAAGCCAUAUGUUCAGGUUAAACACAAUAAAGGGAACAGUCCAAGUUUGCACCUGGGGUAAGAAAUAGAGAUCAGCACAAUUGAAAAAGAAUUGUUAUCCUCAAUUAAUAAUAUUCGAUUUUUAUAAAACUUAUUUGGUAAGUGAAAAAACUACUGGAAAUGUUUUACAUUUUAAUUUUACAUUCUAAUUUGUAUUUGGUUAGGCAAGUGCUCAGGUCACAGACACUACUGGUAAUAGUCACCUCUGGAAAUGUAUGUCUUUAAUAAAAUAUAACAAGUCUUUAAAGCACUAUUAUAAUUCCAAAAUCAACUAAUUAUUAUACCAAACAAAGAAAUCACAGGAAAAAUGUUAUAUCUUUUAUAUUCAGAAAA
This is a long non-coding RNA of Mytilus californianus (California mussel), 979 nucleotides long. RefSeq lists it as uncharacterized. Lineage: Eukaryota; Metazoa; Mollusca; Bivalvia; Mytilida; Mytilidae. The record is from RefSeq and is a predicted model, not a curated record. The transcript is spliced from 4 exons.